This is a long non-coding RNA of Aquila chrysaetos chrysaetos, 6904 nucleotides long. RefSeq lists it as uncharacterized. NCBI's taxonomy places the organism in Eukaryota, Metazoa, Chordata, Aves, Accipitriformes, Accipitridae. The transcript is spliced from 4 exons. The record is from RefSeq and is a predicted model, not a curated record.
CUUUAACAACUAACGAUCUCUUACAAUGAAAGUAGUAUUUGGGAAUGUGACUUUUUCUUUUCUUUUAAAUGGAAAGGCAGUUUGAUAGCUUAGCUAUUAAUGCCCAUAGCCAGAUUCUCUGCAGCUCUGAUGUGAGUAAGAACUUACACCUCCUCCCUAAUUUUUAUCUGAAUGCAGGCUUGUAGGUAACAGUUCUUAAUUUGAUGAACAGAGUAGAGCUGAAAUAAGGUGUUACUAUCAACAAUGAUGCAGACAACUUAGAUUCAUUGUAUAUUACUUUCCACUGUAGUCUUACAGCACUUUGGGUUUUUAGAGUGAACAGAGACACUUCUUUGACCAUUGUUUUUGUCUUCUUCUCUUGUCUAAAUAAACAUAUCCAACAACUAACAUGUGCGUUCAACAGAAACACAAGAAAAAUACUUCCAUUACAGAAGAUUUUGCAAAAGAAUUUAAGUUCCAUUUCAUGAAAGCAAGUAGAGGAGAAAGGGGGGUGAUGGUUAAAAUUACAUUAGACAAGUUGUCUUUCACUUCCUUUCAUUUAAGCUCAAGUGUGUAUUCUAGUAGGAGCAGCAGAAGCAAAACGAGAGACAGAGGGAAGGAAAUGUUAACAUAAAGCAAGAUAAGAAAGGAGAGUGAAGCAUUAAGCAGGGAUGACUGGGCAAAAUAUGGUUACAUUCUGGAGGCCUGGCUUCAGGCAGAUAUCAGGAACAGGGAGCAGCAGGAAGAGAUAAAUCAUCCCUCUCCUCUUCCCAGGAGAUAAAGAUGUUUAUAAACAGAAUAAAAGGAUGAGAGUCCAGGAAGAUAGGAGGUUAGGAAGAGGCAAAUGUCAUAAGAGCAAAAAAAGAAGUGUGAUGGAUGUAAAGUAUUCUGCAUUUUUAUGUUUUCUGCAAUUGUCUCAACUCCUUACUGUGCAGUUUCUUAACAGACCAAAGGGUUAAGGAUCCUGAUCUAGUUCAGGCAGGACGAAUACUAGCUAUUUACACCUCUUAGUUAACUAGGAGCAGACACGAAAAGAGGAUACUGAGUUUGGAGACAAAGGAGAUGUUAGUAUUAUGGUACCAAAUCUCUCAUUCUCACCUGAAAAAAAAGAGAGAAGCAGUAUUUGUGGGAGGAAAGAAGGGAAAAAAAGGACUAUGGGUGGGUUGGCCAGUGGAGACCAGGAAUCCAGAAUGACACCUCAGUGAGUCGCAGCCCAUCAUGAGGCCGAACUUGGCAGUAUGAUGAACCUCUGCUUGUCGUAGCUAAGAAUUAGCUUGUGUCCUCAGAUAUAUGAGUGGCUGCUUACAAAGCAGAGUAUCUUUCAAGCUACUCUUGUAUGUACAAGUAGAACAGAAUGGGAAAGAAAAUGGAAGAAAUGACAGAAAUCAGACAGAAGAGAGGAGCUAGGGAAUACGAAGAAUAAUGAAAAAUAGACCAGUAUUAAGGAUAAGCAUACCCAUAGAUAGGGAACAUGUAUUAGUAUGUCAGAUCAAAUUAAAGAGGAAACUUUUCCUCCUAUAUUCUCGGAAGAGUAAGGAUUUUUAUCAUCACAAAGUAAACACUCUGCAUGUGGCACUUCAGUUUUGAACAAAUCACAUAUUACCAAUGGAAAUACAGGAACAUUUGUGUCUUUUGCAUGUGUAUCUGUUAAAGAAAAUGUUUACAGCUCAUGUAACAUUAACCUUCUCAAUAUUUUUAGCAAUGUCCAGCUCUGGUCAGGCAGAAAUAGAUGGUAUUUUCUAAAAUAAUAAACUAUUUACCAGUGAUGACAACUCUCUGUUCACCUUGAUUAAUUUCAAGGGGGUGACCAUAAGGUAAGGAUCCGUGGUGGGCUAGGGAAAACAUGACUCCUUAGAUUAAUAGUGACUGCAGGGCUAUAUAAAUAUUUAAUAUACUGAAUGAAACACUUCAGCAGAACACACACAAAACAUCACCUCUGCAAAUAUUUCAUGGGUCACUUCCUCUUCUACUUGUUUUCUAUUCCUGUGGCCUAUGAGAAGCUUACUGCAAAAAAUUAAAAUGAUUUGGUAGCUAAAGAUAGGUAUCAAACUAAAAGGCAGCUGAACAACUAGAGAUUCUUCUAAGGAAGCCAAGAGUGGCUGUUGUUUCUUCUGGUCUGAUAUAACGAGGCAGGAACCACCACGCUCCCUCCCACCCUCGCAUUUCCGAGGUGAGAUUCCCAUGCCAAAGGCUGUCAGGAACAGCACAGGACCUUUAGCUAUAUUUAAAAGGAAGUUAUAAUUUCAAAAUCAGAGGCUAUUGCUGCUCUGCCACCUCUCAGCUGAACGUCACCCAGCCACCCCGCUAUCUGCGUUUCACAGUGGACUGAAGACCUACGGUGGCCAGCCCAGAACCUCAAGGCUGCAGGUUUCAGGGCUGACUAACUAAAGUCAGCUUCAAGGAACAUUUGCAGGUGCAAGCAGAAUGCUUGGCAAAGUCCUGAAACUGAGGACAUGAGCUCACAGAGAAGAGCAGCGCUGGGAACUCCUGUCUGCCCCCCAGGUCUUCCAAGGCAGAUUUUCAUUGUCUUCAUCACAGUGUCACGAAGAAGAGCCAGAAGCUCCCAAAGCAGUUAAUGCCAGCACUGAUGGGUCACUUCUGGGACCGGUCCUAAACAAGAGCUCUCUCCUGAGACACACAUACAGUCCCAGCUACGUAGUGUACAGCUACACUGUGAGUGAGCAAAGAGGGAGAAUGAGAAGUUUCUCUCUGGGACAUGGAAAUUUCCUGGCUCUGCAAGAAGAGGAGAGGACUUCCUCAUGAAUCGCUGCUUUGGUAAAAACCUAGCCUAGUACAAGAACUGUCCUUAAGAUGGGAAUCACCCCACCUAAGGCUGACAAUCCCUAAAUCUGUGCAGGAUGGCAAGGCUUCUUUUAUAGUUGGUGGAGACAAACGGGUGUCUCUACCAUGCUGCUCCUCCCAUCCUAGAGUACACACAUGUCUAAAAUAGAUCAUGUGAGUCACACGCUACAAAUGCCUGUUUCUUUCCUUUGCUUAAAAAGGAAUCUAGACAACAGAUGCCUAAUUGUUGAUGUCCAAUGUUCAGUCACAUGAAACCCAGUCUGGCUGGAAGGAUAAGAUUUGUUCAGCUGGGCCAGUUAAACAUGAACGUCUCUAAAACAGGAGAUAGCAAACAAUGGUUAGGCAAGAAUGAACUGGAUUAAUGAUCACCAAAUGACUAGAGGCAUAAGACUGUCUGAAUAUGAAUUAUCUCCUUUUCCAUCCUCUUCCUCCUCUCCUUCAUGAAAGAUGAAUGUUGACCACGCAGAUAAAAAGGACACACCCCAAAUCUUGACUGUUUUCUGCAAGUACCCAUAAUUUGGGGAAAAUGAGAUGUCUGAGCUUGAAUACAGCCAGUGUCAGAGGGCAUAGAGAUGAAAAAAACCUUUAAACUAAUAUUUACGCUAAGCAAAGUUAGGAAUGAAUGCAAGAAGUCCACAAAAAAUGAGAAGCACUGCCAGCGUGAAGGAGGAAGAACACCAUGUGAAGGGAAAAUGGACUGGAAUAGUAAAAGUGGGAUGAAAUGUAAUAGUACAAAGUAUAGUAUCCUGCAGUCAAAAUGGGAUUAAUUUCAUUCAAUCCAUCCAAAACCUUUGCACCUUCACAGCUGUGGAGUCUCCUUGUAUAAUCACUAGAAAGAUGUUAACAAGUCUGCUGGUAAUUUUAUAUUAUCUAGUUUAGACACAUCUAAAUGGAAUGAAUGGAGAUUCUUUGAAGAUUAUUCCUUCUUUCUAUAGUCAUUCAGGGAGAACGUUUAGGUGCCUAACUUUUAAAGUUAUACGUUUGAUGAGGAAAAUCUCCCUAAGGAGUAUUACAAAUUUUCAUUGUAGUAGCUCAUCAGCCAGAAAUCAGACAGGAGGAAAACAUGUAUUUUUUGCAUGACCCAGGACUCUGUAAAACACAAAUAACUUCUUCAGACAUAGUACACAAGGUAAAUUAAAUUGAAAUAGCAAAAAGUUAAUACAAGUGUAAAAAACACUAGUGAGAUCUCAUCUGAGUAAAUAUCUGGCUGUCCACAUUCUGCAAGAGUCUGUCAAAACACAGACAGCCUGUCUUGCAAAAAAUCACUGCAUGAGCAAGAAUCGUGUGCAUAGUUAAAUACAUCAUAUCAUUAGACCUUCCCUGCAAGGGAGAAGGAAAAUUUAAUCUUAAAAAAGCACAAGAGCAACAGGCUAUAAACUCACCACAAACAGAUUUAGGCUGGAAACUUUCUUAACUAUCAGAAGAGUGAGGUUGUGGGACAGCCUUCCAGAGGAGCUACUGAAGGCUAGAAACCUGAAGAGUUUCAAAAGUGAGCUGAACCAUUUUAUGAAAUAGGUUAUAUGACGCAGGGCCUGAAAAGAAGAGUUUGUACUUGGUGCGCUGGGAGGAUCUUGCUAGCUUUAUGUUCACUUGAAAGAAGACUCAAGAAACUAAAUUCCUAACUGUAAUUUGGAAAUGGCCUGAAAUGCUCUGGAAAAUCUUUAUUUUAAACUUUAAUCCCCCCCGCCAACCAUCUCCCAAGCUCUUAAAAUAUUAUGCCAGUGUACCUUAGUAUAUUUAUACAGGUUUUCAGAGGGAAAUAACAGAUUUGUCAAUUCUGAUGACAGUAACAGAACAAAUGUCUGAAUCCAAAGCUAAUGUUUUUCUUUAUGGGGGCAUGCUAAUCUAAUCAUAUCAAACAUUUGCUUUUUGGUUAUAUGUUUUUGGUGGGUUUUUUUUAGAAGGAAACAAAGAGAGUGAUCUGAAAUAUAUAGAUGAGACUUCCCUUGAAAUAUGUUCAAAUGCACAAUUUCUUUACAAUUUUUUUUUUCAUUUGGACAGAUAAAGCACUUUAACUUUUUCUUAAAGAGCUUUUGUUCACUUUUUUUUUUUCCCUUGAGCUUUUUUGGUAUAUACACGUUGUUAAGCAAAUUAAAUAAUUAGUGAAAUCAUAUAUAUCAUAAUUAAAAUAAAUAUUAUAACUUAAAUUUGUUUCAGUAACUAUCUUUUUGCAAUUUCAUAUGAAAUAGGUUUAAAAUUCAUUAUAAGAUAAAUCUACUUAAAUUCUGAUGUCUUUAUCUAAAUUUGAAAGAGAGCUUCAAGAGUUUCAGCAAAAAAUUGAAUUUACAAAGCCUACAACAUAGCCACCAGAUGGUUUUGUAGCACGUGCAGUUUAAAUCAGCUCAGUGUAAGUAAACAGUCAACCACUGUGAAUAAUCAGAUUUUAUUUCUUCCCCUAGGACUUCAAAUCUCACUCUGUCAUAUGCCAGUCAUAAGUGCAGCAGCAUCAAAUAGCUAUGGACUGAAUCCACCUUUCUCUUUUAAAUACAUCUUCUUGCAGUAUAGAUCUUGGGUAGUGCAUGCUGAAACAAGCACUUUAUGACAAAAAUAUUGGAAUUGUAAAAUAAAUGUAUAAUAAAAAAGAAAAUUGUUAGUCUUCAAUUCCCGACCUUGCAUUACAUUACCUCAUCCAAGAAAAAGGAGGUAGUUAAUGAAAAAAAUAGAAAUAAUAUAUUACACUUGAUGUAUCCCCUUUUCUUUCAUACAUCUUUGAAAAGUCCUUUGGAGCAAACAUACAUUAUCUUGAUUUUACAGAGAAAGGGAAAAAAUUAAAAGUUUAAGUGGCUUACCCCAAAUCACACAACAAGCCUUCUGCAAAACGAAAAAUACAGGCUGACUGAAUUUUAGCUGAAGCUCAUAUGGUCCCUCCCCCACUGGAUUUCCUAGAGCUUGUUAGCAAAUGAGCUUCCAUAAAAGGUACUAAACCAGAUUUCUUUCUUUCAUCUGGUUACCAAUUCUUAUGAAGCUUUUUAGGAAUUUAAUGAUAUUUGAACUUGUAAAACUCCUUUGAAAUUUCCCAAAGGUGUUCAAUUUACCAUGUGACACCCACACAAGCUACCCUUUUGUGUUCACACAGACUCCAUGUAUGUUUCCUCAGAAAGUCAAGCUAAACAUUUAAAGAUAGGAGAACAGACCUCAAAUAGUGUCAUCCAGGAUUGCUUUGUCAAUCUCAAAAGGUGCCAAGAUAAGGAUCAGUAUAAUAGUGAAAUUGUGACCUAAAGCCAAAAUUGUAUAGAAAUGUGACAUCUGCAUAUGAUGAUAAAAACAAGUAAACACUGCAAAGCAGGGCAGAACAGCAGGCGGAGGUUCCCUCAAAAAUUGGUGUGUAGGAAGAAUGCACUUUCAGAGAUCAAUAAACAUUAAUUUAAUGUUUAGUAACUUGACUGUCUUUCCACACUACACAUUGUCUUGCCAGCUAUAUAUAAAUAAAAAAAUAUAUCAUGUGAACAUGGUAAUGAUUAAAGAGGUAAUGACCAAUUUUAGCAUGAACUUGCUCUGUUGCUUUACAGGAAGCUACAGUGUCCUUUUUUCACGUUGAAGACAUAAGGAUAUUACGUUAGGGGCAAUCUUAUCCAAAACAGACAUACAAAUCUAUUUAGCUGGUCAGUCUUCACUACUGGGUCUCUAUUUGUAACUAGAUAUAUUAGCUAUUGAAUACGUAUAUCUUGCAUAGAUAAGUUAUUUUAAAAUAAACCCCCUGUGAAACUGUACCCGAACUAACGGUGUAAGUUGAAGCCUAGUUGUAACAGGCCACGUGAAUAUGGUUUUAUGGUUAAUUUUUGAAGCAAAGCUGUACACUUUCUAGGAGAGCAGAAAAUCACUGCAAGUGUUGGUGUCUUCAAAUUUCAUACACAUUCAGAACAAAAUAUAGUUUCCAUAUUUUUAAUAGAAAUGUACAGAAAAAUAAGGAACUGACUGAACUAUAUAUGCCAUUACUAUCUUAUUUCUGUCUAUGUAUCUAUCUAUAUUUUCUAGUUAGUUUUACAAUACUUUAAUAUCAUGUGGUAACUUAAUUAAGGGAACAAGAAAGAAGCCUUAGCUUUAAAUCUCUUUACUAUUGACAAAGUCAGCUUCAAGCUCCAAGUGCUUUUUUUUCCUCCUGCUUAUCUGUCUGUGUAUUUCU